AUUGAACGCUGGCGGCAGGCCUAACACAUGCAAGUCGAGCGGAGCGGCGGACGGGCGAGUAAUGCCUAGGAAUCUGCCUGGCAGUGGGGGAUAACGUACGGUAACGGGCGCUAAUAACACACACUAUCAGAUGAGCCUAGGUGGAAUUAGCUAGUUGGUGGGGCAAAGGCGUACCAAGGCGACGAUCCGUAACUGGUCUGAGAGGAUGAUCAGUCACACUGGAACUGAGACACGGUCCAGACUCCUACGGGAGGCAGCAGUGGGGAAUAUUAGACAAUGGGCGAAAGCCUGAUCCAGCCAUGCCGCGUGUGUGAAGAAGGUCUUCGGAUUGUAAAGCACUUUAAGUAGGGAGGCGUUACCUACAGAGUAAGCACCGGCUAACUUCGUGCCAGCAGCCGCGGUAAUAC
RNAcentral lists this ribosomal RNA (407 nucleotides) under uncultured bacterium. RNAcentral describes it as "partial 16S ribosomal RNA". It matches the Rfam family "Bacterial small subunit ribosomal RNA", at positions 30 to 526 of the family's 1533-position model. The record is from RNAcentral.